CGCGGUAAUUCCAGCUCCAAUAGCGUAUAUUAAAGUUGUUGCCGUUAAAAAGCUCGUAGUUGAACCUUGGACCUGGCUGAUCUGUCCUCCUAAUCGAGCGUACGGAUUCGGUCGGGUCUUUCCUUCUGGGGAGCCCUAUGUCCUUUACUGGUCGUAGCGGGGAACCAGGACUUUUACCUUGAAAAAAUUAGAGUGUUCAAAGCAGGCCUUUGCUCGAAUACAUUAGCAUGGAAUAAUAGAAUAGGACAUCGGUUCUAUUUUGUUGGUUUCUAGGACCGCUGUAAUGAUUAAUAGGGAUAGUCGGGGGCGUCCGUAUUCAAUUGUCAGAGGUGAAAUUCUUGGAUUUAUUGAAGACGAACUACUGCGAAAGC
This 371-nucleotide ribosomal RNA is filed under the name uncultured eukaryote. RNAcentral describes it as "SSU rRNA". It matches the Rfam family "Eukaryotic small subunit ribosomal RNA", at positions 575 to 952 of the family's 1831-position model. The record is from RNAcentral.